This 478-nucleotide ribosomal RNA is filed under the name uncultured Streptococcus sp. Its description in RNAcentral is "bacterial SSU rRNA". It matches the Rfam family "Bacterial small subunit ribosomal RNA", at positions 903 to 1382 of the family's 1533-position model. The record is from RNAcentral. Lineage: Bacteria; Bacillati; Bacillota; Bacilli; Lactobacillales; Streptococcaceae.
CUACAAAUGAAUUGACGGGGCCCGCACAAGCAGUGGAGUAUGUGGUUUAAUUCGACGCAACGCGAAGAACCUUACCAGGAUUUGACAUCUCCUGACGACGGUAGAGAUAUCGUUUCCCUUCGGGGCAGGAAGACAGGUGGUGCAUGGUUGUCGUCAGCUCGUGUCGUGAGAUGUUGGGUUAAGUCCCGCAACGAGCGCAACCCCUAUUGUUAGUUGCCAUCAUUCAGUUGGGCACUCUAGCGAGACUGCCGGUAAUAAACCGGAGGAAGUGGGGAUGACGUCAAAUCAUCAUGCCCCUUAUGACCUGGGCUACACACGUGCUACAAUGGUUGGUACAACGAGUUGCGAGUCGGUGACGGCGAGCUAAUCUCUUAAAGCCAAUCUCAGUUCGGAUUGUAGGCUGCAACUCGCCUACAUGAAGUCGGAAUCGCUAGUAAUCGCGGAUCAGCACGCCGCGGUGAAUACGUUCCCGGGCCUU